RNAcentral lists this transfer RNA (63 nucleotides) under Cucujoidea sp. 3 KM-2017. Its description in RNAcentral is "tRNA-His". Lineage: Eukaryota; Metazoa; Arthropoda; Insecta; Coleoptera. The record is from RNAcentral.
AUUUAAGUAGUUUAAUAAAAAUUUUAGUUUGUGGUUCUAAAGAAGUAAUAUAUACCUUAAAUU